This 1321-nucleotide long non-coding RNA is filed under the name Coturnix japonica (Japanese quail). Its description in RNAcentral is "lncRNA (ENSCJPG00005021271.1)". The record is from RNAcentral. Lineage: Eukaryota; Metazoa; Chordata; Aves; Galliformes; Phasianidae.
AUGGGCUCUAGUGCUACAUACAGAAUCCAGCUCCGUCACAGAGUGAGCAUCCAGAGUCACAGUUAUCAUGUAGCAACGUCCUGUACCCAGCUCUCUGUGUUCAGCUGGUGCAGCGGCACUGCUGUGUUUGAUGCCAGCCUUCACUUUAAACACAGAAGAAGAAAAACUUCUGUAGAAAUAAAGGAUGGACCUCCUGUGUGCGAGAGAUCCGAGCUGCCACAGAAAGCACGAAUUGGGCUGGUGAAAACAGAUCCUGAAUGGAAAGAGAAGUCCCACUCUCUACUGUUGGGAAAGACUCUGAACCAUGGAGUAGCCAGGUGAAAUAUCACGGUAAGAAGUGAUGAUAUUUGGACGAACAAAAGAACAUAUAACCCUGCAGUUAUUGCUCACUUUUGUGCCAGCUGAAGCCAGAUUGGCAUCUAUCCCAAAAAAACUAGCACAUAUUUUGAUUCUGUGAUUUUCAUUUUCUUCUUCCUUAAAAAAGAACUAUUCCUGUAAAGUCAGCCAGGAUUUAAACAAAUAGAUCUAUAGCAUGAUAAUAACCCCAUUAAAAAAAAUAAUUAGGAACACGGCCUGAAAUAACUGUCUAAAGAUAUUUAGAAACAUAAAUCAGCCCAAGUAUUUGAAUAACAGCUAGGUGAUGAUGGAGACAACACGAGGUGGUCUUGCUUGAGAACCCAGUGCUUUGUUUUGAUACACGGAGCAUCAAAUGGAGCAGAGCAAGGGCCCAUUGCUCCACUGUGUUCUCAGGCCAAUCCGCCUGUAAGAUAACUGUCAGAAAGGGCAAACAGGCAGUAAAAUCCUUCCCACUAGUUAUGUUGUUUUGUGAGAGCAGAGCAGCUUUCAGCUGACAAAGAGAGAUCUAACAUCUGAAAUACAGAUCACUCUUAUCAAGUUGGGCUUUUUUCAUGAAAAACACUUUAUUAUUUUGCUUUUGAUGAUAUUCAGUGCUAUUAUUUCAGACCUCUCUGCUACAGAGACCUACAAAAAUAUUGCUUCGCAUUCCUUUUUAUCAUUUGUUGUUUAACUUGCCAGAGAGUUUGACUCAACCACACACCGUAGUCAAAGGGAGUUUUUCAGCACGUUUGAACUUAGUUCUUAGUUUCUACCUUUAUCAAGCCAUCUAGGUCUUUUCCACAUACAUUUCUCAGGGCCACAGGAACACAGUGUGUGCACACCAGUGUCACUUCAACUGCAAAGCCAACCACAACCCCCAGUUCUGAGGGAAACAAUAACAAGACUCAGAUUUGCAGAAAAACUGUCAGCCCAUUGCACCUCUGCUUUGCUGCUCAUUCCUCUAUCCCAUUCCCCCCCCAAAUGC